GCCUGGGUGGCUCAGUCGGUUGAGCGUCCGACUUCAGCUUGGGUCAUGAUCUCACAGUCUGUGAGUUCGAGCCCCACGUCGGGCU
Molecule: transfer RNA, 85 nt
Filed under: Felis catus (domestic cat)
Lineage: Eukaryota; Metazoa; Chordata; Mammalia; Carnivora; Felidae
Rfam family: tRNA
About the family: Transfer RNA (tRNA) molecules are approximately 80 nucleotides in length. Their secondary structure includes four short double-helical elements and three loops (D, anti-codon, and T loops). Further hydrogen bonds mediate the characteristic L-shaped molecular structure. tRNAs have two regions of fundamental functional importance: the anti-codon, which is responsible for specific mRNA codon recognition, and the 3' end, to which the tRNAs corresponding amino acid is attached (by aminoacyl-tRNA synthetases). tRNAs cope with the degeneracy of the genetic code in two manners: having more than one tRNA (with a specific anti-codon) for a particular amino acid; and 'wobble' base-pairing, i.e. permitting non-standard base-pairing at the 3rd anti-codon position.
Source: Rfam by way of RNAcentral